UGGGGAAUAUUGCACAAUGGGCGAAAGCCUGAUGCAGCAACGCCGCGUGCGGGAUGACGGCCUUCGGGUUGUAAACCGCUUUCAGCUCCGACGAAGCGCAAGUGACGGUAGGAGCAGAAGAAGGACCGGCCAACUACGUGCCAGCAGCCGCGGUGAUACGUAGGGUCCGGGCGUUGUCCGGAAUUAUUGGGCGUAAAGGGCUUGUAGGCGGUUGGUCACGUCGGAAGUGAAAACUCAGGGCUUAACCCUGAGCCUGCUUCCGAUACGGGCAAACUAGAGGAAUGCAGGGGAGAAUGGAAUUCCUGGUGGAGCGGUGGAAUGCGCAGAUAUCAGGAGGAACACCAGUGGCGAAGGCGGUUCUCUGGGCAUUUCCUGACGCUGAGAAGCGAAAGCGUGGGGAGCAAACA
RNAcentral lists this ribosomal RNA (407 nucleotides) under uncultured prokaryote. Its description in RNAcentral is "bacterial SSU rRNA". It matches the Rfam family "Bacterial small subunit ribosomal RNA", at positions 355 to 774 of the family's 1533-position model. The record is from RNAcentral.